RNAcentral lists this ribosomal RNA (542 nucleotides) under uncultured bacterium. RNAcentral describes it as "partial 16S ribosomal RNA". It matches the Rfam family "Bacterial small subunit ribosomal RNA", at positions 355 to 889 of the family's 1533-position model. The record is from RNAcentral.
UGGGGAAUUUUGGACAAUGGGCGAAAGCCUGAUCCAGCAAUGCCGCGUGUGUGAAGAAGGCCUUCGGGUUGUAAAGCACUUUUGUCCGGAAAGAAAUCCUUGGCUCUAAUACAGUCGGGGGAUGGCGGUACCGGAAGAAUAAGCACCGGCUAACUACGUGCCAGCAGCCGCGGUAAUACGUAGGGUGCAAGCGUUAAUCGGAAUUACUGGGCGUAAAGCGUGCGCAGGCGGUUUGCUAAGACCGAUGUGAAAUCCCCGGGCUCAACCUGGGAACUGCAUUGGUGACUGGCAGGCUAGAGUAUGGCAGAGGGGGGUAGAAUUCCACGUGUAGCAGUGAAAUGCGUAGAGAUGUGGAGGAAUACCGAUGGCGAAGGCAGCCCCCUGGGCCAAUACUGACGCUCAUGCACGAAAGCGUGGGACGCAAACAGGAUUAGAUACCCUGGUAGUCCACGCCCUAAAACGAUGUCAACUAGUUGUUGGGGAUUCAUUUCCUUAGUAACGUAGCUAACGCGUGAAGUUGACCGCCUGGGGAGUACGGUCGC